This 346-nucleotide long non-coding RNA is filed under the name Helianthus annuus (common sunflower). RNAcentral's name for it is "sRNA HanXRQr2_Chr09g0402401". Lineage: Eukaryota; Viridiplantae; Streptophyta; Magnoliopsida; Asterales; Asteraceae. The record is from RNAcentral.
GUAUUAGGGUGCCGGUAAAGAUAUCUGCCACACGUCUCAAGAAGAUUGCAUGCAACAUCUAUGUUGUGAUGGGUAAAGUCAUCUAAAAAAGCCUUAGACAGCUGAAAAUGAGCCCAGAUGGUGCAAUCUUAAAUUUGCAAAGCUCUCCGAUAAAUCGAAUUUGAAUUGAACCAUCCAAGAAACAAUAGAAAUAAAAGAAAAUGGGUUUAGGUAAAUCAAGUUGAGGGGACCACUAAAAUGAAAACCACCUCCAGUUGUAAGAACCAUGAGAACUUUUUGAUCCGGGGCGAGUUGGACCAAAUUUUUUUUCAUAAACGUAGAUGCGUGUAUUAUAAACACAUUUGUA